Molecule: small RNA, 29 nt
Filed under: Bombyx mori (domestic silkworm)
Lineage: Eukaryota; Metazoa; Arthropoda; Insecta; Lepidoptera; Bombycidae
Description: ovarian small RNA-32294
Source: RNAcentral
UGAGUUAGCUUGAUCACUUUCGUUUUCGG